This 532-nucleotide ribosomal RNA is filed under the name uncultured Bacteroidota bacterium. RNAcentral's name for it is "bacterial SSU rRNA". It matches the Rfam family "Bacterial small subunit ribosomal RNA", at positions 374 to 908 of the family's 1533-position model. The record is from RNAcentral. Lineage: Bacteria; Pseudomonadati; Bacteroidota.
GGCGCAAGCCUGAACCAGCCAUGCCGCGUGCAGGAUGACGGUCCUAUGGAUUGUAAACUGCUUUUGUACAGGAAGAAACAGUUCUACGUGUAGAACCUUGACGGUACUGUAAGAAUAAGGAUCGGCUAACUCCGUGCCAGCAGCCGCGGUAAUACGGAGGAUCCAAGCGUUAUCCGGAAUCAUUGGGUUUAAAGGGUCCGUAGGCGGUUUUGUAAGUCGGUGGUGAAAGCCCAUCGCUCAACGGUGGAACGGCCAUUGAUACUGCAAGACUUGAAUUAUUAGGAAGUAACUAGAAUAUGUAGUGUAGCGGUGAAAUGCUUAGAUAUUACAUGGAAUACCAAUUGCGAAGGCAGGUUACUACUAAUAUAUUGACGCUGAUGGACGAAAGCGUGGGGAGCGAACAGGGUUAGAUACCCCGGUAGUCCACGCCGUAAACGAUGGAUACUAGCUGUUCGGAGCAAUCUGAGUGGCUAAGCGAAAGUGAUAAGUAUCCCACCUGGGGAGUACGUUCGCAAGAAUGAAACUCAAAGGA